AGACUAUGAUCCUUUUCCUUAUGGGCAUGGGUUGUAUGGCUUCUAUGCUUUUAGGCCUUGGGCCUUGUAUUUCAAUAUCCAUCUGAAAGGUAAGGUGAGAUUGCAAUCUUCCUCAAUAGGGUGAGAUUGCGUCCAUUUGAAAGUAGUACUCCUGGCCAAUGUUUGUGGGUGUGUUACUUGAAAUUAGCCAUUUUUAUUGUAUAGAAUAAGUCUCCUGUUUAUAGCAGCAAUGCCAGUGGAGGUUUAACAGAAAUUUUAUCUUGAUAAGUCAUGACCCUAAGACAACAUUUUCAUGUAGGGUGAAUGAUGAAUUACUUGCAAGACGAUCAUAUCUUUCAUAACCAGCUGAUUCCCCAUAGUAUUAUCGUUCAACUAAUCAGAUGUGAUUCCAUAUAGCAACAGGAUCACUGCUGCUUUAGGAAUAAAGGUUAUGGGCCCUCUAGAAGCUUGGACGUUUCAAACUUUAGCAUUUUGAAUCUUUUUUCCUAAUUGCUUUGAUGAAAUGCGCAACUGUGAUCGCUGCUGAGGUCCUGGCUGAUGAAAUUUACGGUUUUUGUUAAUGUUAGCCUGGAAUUAGGAUGUGGAUUUCUUGGCCUUCUGGCCUAUAUGCAGAUGAAGAAUUUAAUGGGAUGGUUUGAUGGCUACCUAAGUUUAGAUCUUGCAUAUAUGCUGUAUUAUAAAUGCAAACUAAGACAACUAAAAGUACUUGUAUGUUCAUGAGAUGAUGGGAAGAUCUUUUAUUUUUUAUUGGAUCAUGUAUGGAACG
This 766-nucleotide unclassified non-coding RNA is filed under the name Hevea brasiliensis (rubber tree). Lineage: Eukaryota; Viridiplantae; Streptophyta; Magnoliopsida; Malpighiales; Euphorbiaceae. The record is from RNAcentral.